UACUAGAGUAGCACUCGCAUAUCAAUAAGCGGAGGAAAAGAAACUAACAAGGAUUCCCCUAGUAACGGCGAGUGAAGCGGGAAGAGCUCAAAUUUGAAAUCUUAAAGGGUUUCCCUUUACGAAUUGUAGUUUAAAGAAGUGUUUUCUGUUGAGGUUUUGGUAAAAGUUCUUUGGAAUAGGACAUCAUAGAGGGUGAGAAUCCCGUAUUUGACCUUUACUUUCAACUUUGUGAUACACUUUCAAAGAGUCGGAUUGUUUGGGAAUGCAGUCCAAAAUGGGUGGUAAAUUUCAUCUAAAGCUAAAUAUUGGCGAGAGACCGAUAGCGAACAAGUACCGUGAGGGAAAGAUGAAAAGAACUUUGAAAAGAGAGUUAAACAGUACGUGAAAUUGUCAAAAGGGAAGCGUUUGACACCAGUGUUGUUUUUCUGAAAAUCAAUUAAAGAACUGUUUAUGCUAAGCUGUUUAGACUUUAUCAGCUAUCUACUUUAGUUUUGAGCUUUUCUUUAAUGCACUUUUCAGUUAACAAGUCAACAUCAAUUUCUUUUGCUGUAAAAAAGCUUGAGGAAGGUGGCUUGAGAUUCGUCUUAAGUGUUUAUAGCCUCUUGCCUAUGCAGUCGGAGAGAUUGAGGUCUGCAGCGUAGAUCCUUCGGGGCUAAAUGCAUUUGUGCUAAGUUAUAGCAUUUUAUAGACAACUUGUUGACUAUGAUUUGUCUUGUAGCUUACUCGCUUAUGUUAUUUUACCUACGCUUAGGAUGUUGAGCUACUGAGACAUAGA
RNAcentral lists this ribosomal RNA (775 nucleotides) under uncultured Neocallimastigales. RNAcentral's name for it is "partial large subunit ribosomal RNA". It matches the Rfam family "Eukaryotic large subunit ribosomal RNA", at positions 20 to 644 of the family's 3401-position model. The record is from RNAcentral. Lineage: Eukaryota; Fungi; Neocallimastigomycota; Neocallimastigomycetes; Neocallimastigales.